Molecule: long non-coding RNA, 497 nt
Organism: Leptidea sinapis
Lineage: Eukaryota; Metazoa; Arthropoda; Insecta; Lepidoptera; Pieridae
Exons: 5
Source: RefSeq, a predicted model, not a curated record
ACGAUAUUAAAACGCGAUGUCAGAUCCAUUGAUUUUAAUGCGUUAUUUUUUUAUGUGAUUUUUUAUAUUGAAUUCAAUAAUAAAAUUCAAAAUUAUGUCUUUAUACGUUUAGAUUCUAAGGAAAUUUUUUGCAUUUUUUUUAACAAUGGGCCGAUGUUGCAGAAGGAAAAUGUGCAGAACUCGCUGCAGAUCCCGCAGUGGACGAUUCAAGCGGUGCAGCUCUGGUGACAGGAGGUACAGGGUGCGACAGCGGUGCUGCCGACGUAAACGAGCCUGCCGUAGGAGGUCUAGAUCUCGUCGUAGACGCUCAAGGAGACCAAAAUAUACGUGGCGCUGCCGUUCGCGAAGCGGUAAAUUCAAAAUAUGCCGCUACUGCGACCGGAGGUACAAACUACGGAAACGUUCGGGGUCCUAAAUUGUGAUGUUUUGGUGUGCGUCUGCUUUCUACAUAUAUAAAUUGUCUGUGAUGUUUUAUAGUAAUAUAUUGUGGUCUUUUA